UACAGAGGUGCCAAGCGUUAGGCGGAAUCACUGGGCUUAAAGCGCGUGUAGGUGGGUCGUUAAGUGUCCGCGUGAAAUCCCACGGCUCAACCGUGGAACUGCCGGGCAUACUGGCGAUCUUGAGGCAUUCAGGGGCGAGCGGAACAAAUGGUGGAGCGGUGAAAUGCGUAGAUAUCAUUUGGAACGCCAAUGGUGAAAACAGCUCGCUGGGAAUGAUCUGACACUGAGACGCGAAAGCCAGGGGAGCGAACGGGAUUAGAUACCCCGGUAGUCCUGGCCCUAAACGAUGUCCACUAGAUCGUGGCACCUCUGACGGUGUCAUGGUCGGAGCAAAAGUGUUAAGUGGACCGCCUGGGAAGUACGGUCGCAAGGCUAAA
Molecule: ribosomal RNA, 377 nt
Filed under: uncultured bacterium
Lineage: Bacteria
Description: bacterial SSU rRNA
Rfam family: Bacterial small subunit ribosomal RNA
Source: RNAcentral